UACGUAGGGUGCGAGCGUUAAUCGGAAUUACUGGGCGUAAAGCGUGCGCAGGCGGUUUUGUAAGGCAGAUGUGAAAUCCCCGGGCUCAACCUGGGAACUGCGUUUGAAACUACAAGGCUAGAGUGUGGCAGAGGGGGGUGGAAUUCCACGUGUAGCAGUGAAAUGCGUAGAGAUGUGGAGGAACACCGAUGGCGAAGGCAGCCCCCUGGGUUAACACUGACGCUCAGGCACGAAAGCGUGGGGAGCAAAUAGG
RNAcentral lists this ribosomal RNA (253 nucleotides) under uncultured bacterium. RNAcentral's name for it is "partial 16S ribosomal RNA". It matches the Rfam family "Bacterial small subunit ribosomal RNA", at positions 524 to 776 of the family's 1533-position model. The record is from RNAcentral.